RNAcentral lists this ribosomal RNA (529 nucleotides) under uncultured bacterium. RNAcentral's name for it is "bacterial SSU rRNA". It matches the Rfam family "Bacterial small subunit ribosomal RNA", at positions 979 to 1509 of the family's 1533-position model. The record is from RNAcentral.
CCUUGACAUCCAGAGAACUUAGCAGAGAUGCUUUGGUGCCUUCGGGAACUCUGAGACAGGUGCUGCAUGGCUGUCGUCAGCUCGUGUUGUGAAAUGUUGGGUUAAGUCCGCAACGAGCGCAACCCUUAUCCUUUGUUGCCAGCGGUUCGGCCGGGAACUCAAAGGAGACUGCCGGUGAUAAACCGGAGGAAGGUGGGGAUGACGUCAAGUCAUCAUGGCCCUUACGGCCAGGGCUACACACGUGCUACAAUGGCGCAUACAAAGAGAAGCGACCUCGCGAGAGCAAGCGGACCUCAUAAAGUGCGUCGUAGUCCGGAUUGGAGUCUGCAACUCGACUCCAUGAAGUCGGAAUCGCUAGUAAUCGUAGAUCGGAAUGCUACGGUGAAUACGUUCCCGGGCCUUGUACACACCGCCCGUCACACCAUGGGAGUGGGUUGCAAAAGAAGUAGGUAGCUUAACCUUCGGGAGGGCGCUUACCACUUUGUGAUUCAUGACUGGGGUGAAGUCGUAACAAGGUAAGCGUAGCGAG